RNAcentral lists this ribosomal RNA (236 nucleotides) under uncultured bacterium. Its description in RNAcentral is "partial 16S ribosomal RNA". It matches the Rfam family "Bacterial small subunit ribosomal RNA", at positions 96 to 334 of the family's 1533-position model. The record is from RNAcentral.
UGGCGGACGGGUGGAGUAAUGUCUGGGAAACUGCCUGAUGGAGGGGGAUAACUACUGGAAACGGUAGCUAAUACCGCAUAACGUCGCAAGACCAAAGAGGGGGACCUUAGGGCCUCUUGCCAUCGGAUGUGCCCAGAUGGGAUUAGCUUGUUGGUGGGGUAACGGCUCACCAAGGCGACGAUCCCUAGCUGGUCUGAGAGGAUGACCAGCCACACUGGGACUGAGACACGGUCCAG